AUCUGGUUGAUCCUGCCAGUAGUCAUAUGCUUGUCUCAAAGUAUAAGCCAUGCAUGUCUAAGUAAUACUUUUACAUAGUGAAACCGCGAAUGGCUCAUUAAAUCAGUUAUUGUUCCUUAGAUAGUAAAAUCCUACUUGGAUAACUGUGGUAAUUCUAGAGCUAAAACAUGAAGCACGGAUCUGACCUCGCGGAAUGAGCGCGUUUAUUAGAUCAAAACAAGUCGGGUUCGCAAGGGCCCCUCGGAUUGGUUAGACUGGAUAACUUUGUGCUGAUCGCACGGUCUCGCGCCGGCGACGUAUCUUUCAAAUGUCUGUCCCAUCAACUUUCGAUGGUAUGUGAUAUGCCUACCAUGGUUGGUACGGGUAACGGGGAAUCAUGGUUUCUAUUCCGAAGAGGGAGCAUAAGAAACGGCUACCACAUCCAAGGAAGGCAGCAGGCGCGCAAAUUACCCACUCCUGGCACGGGGAGGUAGUGAUGAAAAAUAGCAAUACGGGACUCUUUCGAGGCCCCGUAAUUGGAAUGAGUACACUAAAAACCCUUUAACGAGGAUCUAUUGGACGGCAAGUCUGGUGCCAGCAGCCGCGGUAAUCCAGCUUCAAAAGCAUAUCUUAAAAUUCUUGUAGUUAAAAAGCUCGUAGUUAGAUCUCGGGUCCCAGGCUUGCGGUCCGAUGCCUGUCGGUUACUGCUCGUCUUGACCUACCUCCCGAUUUUCGCUCUUGGUGCUCUUGACUGAGUGUCUCGGGUGGCCGGAACAUUUACUUUGGAAAAAAAUGAAGGUUCAAAGCAGGCAAUAUCGCCUGAAUAAUGGUGCAUGGAAUAAUGGAAUAUGACCUCGGUUCUAUUUUGCUGGUCUUCGGAGCUCGAGGUAAUGAUUAAGAGGGACUGACGGGGGCAUUCGUAUUACGGUGUUAGAGGUAAAAUUCGUGGAUCGUCGUAAGAACUACUGCGAAAGCAUUCGCCAAGCAUGUUUUCAUUAGUCAAGAACGAAAGUCUCGAAGAGGUUCGAAGACGAUCAGAUUCCGUCGUAGUAAUGACAAUAAACGAUGCCAACUAGCGAUCCGCCGGAGUUGCUUCAAUGACUCGGCAGGCAGCCUCCAUGAAACCAAAGAUUUUGCGUUCCGGGGGAACAUGGUAUGGUUGCAAAACUAAAUUUAAAGGAAUUGACCGGAAGUGGACCCUGCGGCAUAAUUUGACUCAACACGGGAAAACUCAUCCGGCCCGUACACUUCUGACAGA
Molecule: ribosomal RNA, 1237 nt
Filed under: Mytilus coruscus
Lineage: Eukaryota; Metazoa; Mollusca; Bivalvia; Mytilida; Mytilidae
Description: SSU rRNA
Rfam family: Eukaryotic small subunit ribosomal RNA
Source: RNAcentral